UACGGGGGGGGCAAGCGUUGUUCGGAAUUACUGGGCGUAAAGGGUGCGUAGGCGGCUUUCUAAGUUGGAUGUGAAAACUAUGGGCUCAACCCAUAGCCUGCAUCCAAAACUGGAGAGCUUGGGUUCUGGAGGGGAAAGCGGAAUUCCUGGUGUAGCGGUGAAAUGCGUAGAUAUCUGGAGGAACACCGGUGGCGAAGGCGGCAUCCUGGACCAACACUGACGCUGAGUGAGCGAAAGCCAGGGGAGCGAACGGG
This 254-nucleotide ribosomal RNA is filed under the name uncultured prokaryote. RNAcentral's name for it is "partial 16S ribosomal RNA". It matches the Rfam family "Bacterial small subunit ribosomal RNA", at positions 524 to 776 of the family's 1533-position model. The record is from RNAcentral.